This 4688-nucleotide long non-coding RNA is filed under the name Equus asinus (donkey). RNAcentral's name for it is "lncRNA (ENSEASG00005023952.1)". The record is from RNAcentral. Lineage: Eukaryota; Metazoa; Chordata; Mammalia; Perissodactyla; Equidae.
AAGACAUUCAUCAGUGCUGUGAACUCACGUCGGUAUCUAUGUCGCCCCAUUUUGAAUCAUCUAACACAGUUUCCCACGCACGGCAUCCUGACUUCCGUCGAAGCUGUGUGAGAUUCACACGGCGAUUAACAAUCCACAUAGGAUGUGUCGUCUUUGGAAAUUUUCUUCCCCACCUCCGACGACCCGCGUGAGGACCUUAGGACCACGUGUCGAGGUGGUGGUGGUUUCUGCCCUGGGUGCCACUGUCCAUAUUUCCAGAAUAUAACCACCGGCUGUAUUUUUAAAGUGAUUUUCUGUAGGCUGACACCCAGUGCUUGCAAAUGCGAGGCUCUACUCCUGGAAUAAUGACUAAAUCUAGUUACAUUUCUUUCUUACAGUUAUUUAGCUGACUCCCUCAGGCGGCUUUGAUGAGCGUUGCUUCUGGCCCUUGGGCUGCUGUCCCAAACAGUAUGUGGCUGUCCCAGUAAAGUGACUGAGAGACCAUGGCAUGAAGUGCUUCGUAAGGGCUUAUCCUCUUUUCCAAAGGAUAAUUUUUUGGGCAAAAUCCUCCUCUUAUAUUUGAACUGGCCUGGAGUGAAACAAAGGCCCUGCUCACCCCAUGCUGCUCCCAUCCCCAAAACACCCCGACCUCAGCCUCCUGGACCCCCACUCCCGUGCCAACCUUGGCUGCCCCCCGACCCGGUCUCCCUCCUGCCUGAGGCCGACCCCGACCCCUCCAACCCUUUCCAUCUCCCCGGGUCCUCCCGCCUCAGACCACUUCCUUCACAUCUAACACAUUCUUCAAGAAGAGAGGAAAGUAUAGAGCAGACCCACGCUGUCCCCAAUCCUUUUACCUGGAAACAGCCAGUCUUGACAUCUGGUAAAUGUCAUCGCAGACCCCUCUCUCUGCAUUUACGUACAGAAGGAUGGAAGGAAGGACAGGUAGAUAAAUCCUACACGGAAAUAACUUUGCAAUCAUAUGAAAAAAGACGGACACCUGCUAUUGUGGUUUUUAAAUAUCACAUUUCAUUUUCCUUGAAUUCAACAGAAGAAAAGGGAACCUGCAGGAGCUGCUGAACUGCUGAGCUCACGCAGGCCUUGCGUCUCCGAGCUCUGCCUUAUGUGUUCAUGCUCUUCUUAGACCUUACAGCACAGAGAUUUCUUCUGUCCUUCGUAGUGUCUUCUGACAGUCUGAGUUGUCUGUCUGUCUGCCGUAAACGGUGUGUCUCAUAUCCUCCAUCUCAUGUAUCGUGUUUUCAUACUGCUUAUGCCUCGGAGGGCAGCUCUCCCUCUUAUUUCCUCUGAUAAAGGGUGAGUUCUACUCCCCACCUUCUCUGGGCCCGGCUGGGAUUCCAUCGAGCUGGGAUUUAGGGCAGAGGCUGCCCCUCGGACCUGUCCUGUAGCCUGAGCACGGGCGGGGGUACAAGGACUCGGUGGGCUCCCGGGUGCAUCCUGAGCUGUUUCUCUGCCUAGAACCACGCUGAAGGCUUCCGAUUGUUCCCCAAGAGGGCAUUGUGGAGCUUUGGAAAACUGCAUCGUGCAGCUGUGAGGUCUAGGAACAUUCCAGAACAUUCUGGAACAUUUCUCUAGCCUACCAACUCACCCCUGCAGUGAGUUCUUUGCAACUCAGGAGAAGUCCUGGCAAAAACUGUCAGAACUCUGUGGACUUUUCUUCUUUCCUCCUUAUUGCUUCUGGAGGACUGGGGACCGAGUCCUUCUGGAAUCUUCUAAUUUUUUCCUUGCACACUACUUUUCAAAGUCUGUGACCUACGAGUGCACCCCGUUCCUCAUUUGGUUACUGCUGGUGGAAGCUUGAUUCCUGUAUCUGGUCCUUCCUCCUCCUGUUGGUGCUGAGCAGACGUUCUCUGCCCGGGGCUCACCCCUCCAUCUUUGCCCCACCCCCCGCGGGGGCUUAAACACGCUCAGGUGUCUCCCGUUGGAAACCCAACGCGCGCUGCCCUUGGCUUUCCAAUGUCUCAAGCUUGUCUACGAGCCUCUCUCUUCCCCCUUCCCACUCGCUGCUCAGCCUACAUCUGGCUUCUGGUCCCCUCCCACAAAACCUCAGUCUCCUACGUUGCGGCCACUGCUACUCGACUGGCCGUCGCAUCUUGGAGUUCCUUCAAGCUCGCCCUGGAAGCCGUGUGCUCCGCUCAGACAAGCUCACGCACACCUCUGGCUUGGGUUGUUCCUGCCAUGCAGGUGAUUGCAAAUCUGUCCCCUUAGCCCACUGUCUUCCGGGCUCCAGGCCUGGCUGUCCAGCCGCCUCCUUAUCAUCUCCUUUUCGAUGUCUCGAAGACAUCCACAUCAACUUGUCCAAAAUUAUGCUCCCCAAGCUCACACCCAUUAGGAUGGCUGCUAUCAAAAUAGAAAAUUAAAACAAAACCACAGGUGUUGGUGAGGAUGUGGAGAAACUGGAAGCAUCGUGCACUGUUGCUGGCAGCGCAAGAUGGCGCAGCUGCUGUGGAAAAGUCUGGCGGUUGCUCAGAAACUUAAACAGAAUGACCACAUGAUCCAGCAGUUCCGCUUCUGGGCAUAAACCCCAAAGAAUUCAAAUCAGGGACACCCACCUUCAUACAGCACCAUUCACAACAGUCAAAAUGUGGAGGCAGCCCAAGCAUCCAUGAGUGGAGGGAUGGAUAAAGAAAAUGCGGUCCAUCCACACAGUGGACUAUGGUUCAGCCUUAAAGAGGAAGGAGAGUCUGACACCUGCUAUGACGUGGAUGGACCCUGAAGACAUCAUGAUAAGUGAAAUAAGCUGGUCACAAAAGGACAGAUCCUGUAUGAUCCCUUUCAUAUGAGCACCCAGUAGUCAAGUUCACAGAAGCAGAAAGUAGACGGUGGAGCCGUGGGGCUCAGGAGGGAAGCAGAGGCCUCGGCGGGGGGCUGCACGUUCUGCCGGGGAGCUUGGCCCUCUCUCGCUCGCCCUGGGAGCCGUGGGAACCUGGAAGGGCUGCUGGCAGGAGAAUGACACGGUGGGAUUUGCAUUUCAGAAGGUGGAAGGCCCGGCUGGCAGCUGGGAGGUGGCACAAUGGCUGGCAGGCUGGUGAGCAGCCCUGUGGACGCUGCCCGCCCCCCAGUGCCCACUGGAGCCCAGUGAAGCCCCCUCUGCAGAGAGGAGCGGCUCACGGCGUCCCAGGGCCCCCGGGGGAGGGGCAGGCGGCUCCAGGCCAAGAGGCGGAAGAGGCCUGGCAGGCGGGGAGCAGCCUUAGAUGGAGAGCACAUUUGCAGCCAUCGAGCGUGUUCCCAGGCCCUGCCGGAGCAGAGAGGGGUGGCUUGGGGGGGCUGCAGGGUUGAGGCCCCGGCUGAGGUCCCGGGCAGACCACAGGGUGAGCCGGUGGGAUCUCCUGUCCUGCCACAUGCCCCCACCCGUGCUGCAGGGCCAGCUGGGGUGUCUGGGGAGGAAAGGGCCCCUGGACCCUCAGUCAGCAGGACCGAGGUCGGCUGAGGGGCCCAGCCGGCCCAUGCUGGCCGGGGGCCUGCAAUGAGCCUCAGUUGCCCCAUCUGUAAACAAGGGAGUGAUGACAGUGUGUCUCGGGGGGGCUGUGAGCCGGUGGCCAGAGGGGGCCGGUGCCAGCCAGGAAAGCUCUCUGAGAGCACGGUGAUGUCUGUUCCAGAAGCAUGCACGGAGCCCCCAUCAGGACCCUGCUGUGGUCACCUCGUCAUCGUGGCCUUGCUCCUGCCCUGCCCUGUGCCUGCCCUGUACCCCUGGGAGGUGGGCCAGGGGCAGAUAUGGGUGCCUUUGGACUUAGUCCUCAGGCCCUGGGAGCCAGGGAGGGGCCAGGAGGGGAGGUGCAGUCAGGUUCCUCCCCAGAGACAGAGGAAGGGAGAAGAAGCUCAGGGCAAAGGGCACGGCCUUGCUGCCCCCAGCACCCGUGACCUCAAGGGGGCACUUCCUUUUCUGAGCCCAGGCUCGGAUGGCAUUUCCCUCAGUGGGGGAGGGGGUCUCCAGGGCUACCCAGGGAGGGAGGCCUGGUGGACCCCGAUUCCCUGGACCCCGCCCUGACUGGCGGAACAGGCCCGGUGGGUGAGGGGACGAGGUUUGUCGGAGCCCGGCUCUGAAUCUGAGGACCCGGGGACCCCCACGUGGGGAGGCAGUGGCUGGCCUCCACCCAGGAGAGGCAGAGAUGCAGUGGCUGCAGGGAGAGUGACAGCCACCCCCCCUCCCCGAGGGGACUUGGGCGGGUCACAUGAGGGACGGGUCACAGUGAGGCAGGAGGCUGGGUUACAGCUACAAACAUCCUCUUUCCAGCGUAAUCCUGGCAACUCCCCAGGGAGGGAAGUGUGACUGUCCCCCUCUGGCAGACUGGGAGAGUGAGGCUGGAAAGCUGCCCGGUGGAAGGGUCUCCCCUCUUGGAAGGGGAACAAUGUCACCAGGCAGCUCAAGCCGGAGAGCAGCUGGCAGGGCUCAGGAGAGGGAAGCGAGAGUCUGGCCCUCCCCCGGCCCCAGGCGGCGGGAGGGAGAUGCCUGCCCGGGCUGCUGGCCUGCUUCUGAAAGUCCCAAGAAGGCGUCUUUUCUCCCCAAGCGCGGGGUAGUGCCAUUGGCAGUCCAUCCUUUGAACAGCUGCCCGGCCCCCUUUGUCACCAACGCGGAUCCCAGUCCCCAGAGGGCCGGAGACCCUCCCGCUGUUCCCGGAGAUGGAGAUGAGGCUCUUGAGGCUGCCAGGAGGGGACCACGUGCUCCUCAGCCUCCAUGAGCCCCUCUCCCAGCC